Molecule: long non-coding RNA, 6506 nt
Filed under: Sus scrofa (pig)
Lineage: Eukaryota; Metazoa; Chordata; Mammalia; Artiodactyla; Suidae
Description: lncRNA (ENSSSCG00035035591.1)
Source: RNAcentral
CGAUCUGAAGAAAAGUCGGGGAAAACUUCUUUGUGGGUCAUUAUGGGUUUCCUGUCCUGAGUCCCUCCUGGGACCGUGGGCAGCAGAGGCCUGUCUCUUGCACAUGGUGAAGUUUCCCUUGUGUGUGUGGUUGUGGCACAGGAAGGAGGCGUGUGGAUCUUACACCUUAGGAACCUUCUCACCUUUCAAGAUUGACUUCGAAACCUCAUGUUGCCUGAGCAAGAAGCCCAGCAGGGGAGGAGGAGGAGGAGGAAGGAAGGCCAGGAGUCAGGAAUGGCUGUUUCUCAGGGACCAUUGACCUUGGAGGACGUGGCCGUGGAGUUCUCUCCGGAGGAGUGGGCCUGCCUGGACCCUGCGCAGAGGGCCUUGUACAGGGACGUGAUGCUGGAGACCUACAGGAACCUGCUCUCCCUGGAUAUCUCUCCUAUACAUGUGAUCAAGAAAUUACAACCGAAAGUAAACACUGAUAGAGGAGAAGCAUUCCAGACAGUGAAGCUGCAAAGACAGGAAAGGAACAAAAUCAAACAUUUUUACCUGAGGGAAAUCCAGGGAAACACAUACGACCUUGAGUCUCAGCAGAGAGAUGAGGAAAGAACUGACAAAGGAAUGGCUGUAACGCAACACGAAAAUCUCACCGCUAAGCGAGAUCGACAUGGUACCAGUAUUGCAGGGAUCAGUCCUGCUGGUAGCAGGUUUGCAGUAAGCUUUCAGGAUGAACUGCAUGGAUUUAAAAGUGCAGAGAAAAUUCUUCAAGCUGACUCGAGUCUCCGUAGUCGUGCCUCAUUUUCACCACCUCAAACAGUGUCUCCUGUCAUCCAAGCCAACAUCCCUAACACAAAUGGGAGUGAUUUUCCUCCUCCUUCCAUACUGACGCAAGACCAUCGUGAACACAGGGAAAGCCCGCACAGAUAUAAUCGGGGGAGUGAAACUUUUCAUCAGGACCUAAACCUCACUGAACCUCCGAUCAUCCUUGCAGGAGAGAAAGUGCAUGACCGUGAACUUUGCGGCAAAGUCUUUCGUCUGAACUCAGAUCUUGCAGUUCAUCCGAGAAAUCAUACUGGAGAGAAAGCUUACAAACCUCCUGUGCGUGGCCAAACCCUGAGUCCCGGCUCACACAACACAGGACCUCUGACAAGCCGUAUAGACGAGAACACGUAUACAUGUGAGGUGUGCAAAAAAGCCUUCCGUCGAAAGUCAUACCUCGCCAUGCAUCAGCGAAUUCAUGCCGCAGAGAAAGCCUACACCUGUGAUGUGUGUGGCAAGAAGUUUCAUCACAGUUCGAAUCGAAGGAGACAUCAGAGAAUCCACACAGGAGCCAAGCCGUACGCAUGUGACGUGUGCGGUAAAGGCUUUAAUCGCAAUUCAAUCCUCGCGCUUCAUCGGCGAAUUCACACGGGCGAGAAGCCCUACAAGUGUAACGCGUGUGGCAAGGUCUUUAGCCGAAAAGGAACCCUUGCGAGUCACCAGAGGAUUCACACGGGAGAGAAACCUUACAGAUGUACCCAGUGUGGCAAAACCUUUCACCACCGCUCCGUCCUCCUGCGCCAUCAGAUGAUCCAUAAGGGGCUUAAGUUGCAUAAAUGCGAUGUCUGCGGCAACGUUUAUAGUCGCAGAUCAAAUCUUGUCAUUCAUCACAGGACUCACACUGGAGAGAAACCUUACACAUGCCAUGCGUGCGGCCAGGUCUUCAGUCAGAAAGCAUCCCUUGCAUGUCAUCAGGCAGUUCAUACGGGAGAGGAGCCUUACAAAUGCAGUGAGUGCGGCAAAAGCUUCCACCACAGUUCAAACCUCAGGAAACACCAGCUCCUUCAUAAUGGAGGGAAAGAAUAUAAAUGCGAGGUGUGUGGCAAAGUCUUCCGUCAAAAUGCAUACCUCGCAAAGCACCAGAGACUUCACUCUGGAGAGACCCCUUACAGGUGCAGCGACUGUGGGAAGGUCUUUAGGAAAAAAGCAAUUCUUACACUUCAUCAGAGGACACAUACCGGAGAGGAGGACGCUUAUCAAUGUCACGAGUGCGGCAAAGUCUUUUGUCAGAAAGGCACCCUUGCAAGGCAUCGGCUCAUCCACGCUCGAGCCACACCUUGCACAUGUGAUGCGUGUGGCAAAACCUUUGAUCAGCACGCAACCCUCGCUCGCCAUCAGGCAACCCACGCAGGCGAGAAAUUACAUAAAUGUGAUAUCUGCGGCAGAAUCUAUCGUCGAAAGUCAGACCUUGCCAUUCAUCAGAGAAAUCACACUGGCGAGAAGCCUUACCAAUGCCAUGAGUGUGGCAAGACCUUUAAUUACAGAUCGAAACUCAGUCGCCAUCUGCUAAUCCACACGGAAGAGAAACUGUAUAAAUGCGAUGUGUGCGGCAGAGUCUUCAGUCAAAAUUCCUACCUUGCCAGACACCAGAGAAUUCACACUGGAGAGAAGCCUUACGAAUGUAGCGCCUGUGGCAAAACCUUUAAUGAUAAGUCCGCCUUCAGCCGACAUCUGAUGAUCCACACAGGAGCAAAACCUUACAAGUGCGAUGUGUGUGGCAGCGUGUUCCGUCGCCGUUCACACCUUGCCGGGCAUCAGAGAAUUCACACUCAAGAGAGACCGUAUACAUGCAAUGUCUGCGGCAAGGUGUUUACCCAGAAUUCACAUCUUAGGGUGCAUCAGAGGGUUCACACUGGAGAGAAACCUUACAAAUGUCACGAGUGUGGCAAGGUCUUUAGUCAGAAUCCAACCCUUGCAAAGCAUCAGAGGAUUCACACCCAAAAGAAACCUUAACGAUGUCGCGAGCGUGGUCAAGUCUUCAGUGAAGAGUCUCGGCUUGAAACUCAGUGGAAAAUCCAUGCUGUGCAGAAACCUUUCCUUCCGAAGGGUUGUGUGUGGAAACGCCUUCAGUCAGAUUUCCACCCUCGUCAGGUAAUGGGUACACAGGGGACGUCAUGCCGAUGUGACCUGUUUGGCAAGGACGUCAGUAAACACAGACACUUUAAAUCCACGGGCCAUUCACAGUGGGGAGAAUGGGUGUGAAUAUCUUAAGUGUGGCAGAGCCUUACGUCCAACCACGGAGCCCCUGCUCGACAGAAACUGGAGCAACCUCGUGCCUGUCUCAGGAGUCUUAAGUCAAAAUUCAUGCCUUCACGAUCCACCAAGAAAUUCCGACUGGAGAUAAACCUCACAAGUAUCAGGAGUCUGGGGAAUUCGUCAGUGUACUUUCAAGCCUAACUUACUGUCAGGUCAUCCCUAUUGGGAGAGAUUUUAAUAGAGCAAGGGUUUUAGCAGGUGUCCUCAUCCACGUGUUAUUGGAGAAGUCACGCUUGAGAGAAAUCAGGUGCAUGUAUUUCAUAUGACCAGGCUUUCAGACCAGAAAGUCAUCCACCAAAGAAUUCACUCUGCAGAUGACCUCACACAGGCCACGCGUGGGAAGAACCUUUACUCAGGGCUCACAUCUCACGAAUCAUCAGACUCUCCCCACAGGACAGAAUAUGACAGAGGUGCCGAAGGUGGCAACGCUUUUCUAUUGUGCCUUAAACAAAGCCUUCACCAAAUGCUCCAUGCUUACAAAUUGAGUGAACAUGGCAAUUUCAAAGUAUUACACACUCACCCCUGGACACCAGAGUAUCCGUCCUGGAAGAAAAACCAUCAGAAUGCAGUGUGCAUGGCGAAGAUUUUACCCAACGAUUCCAAGAUGGGAAGGUCCUGAAAUAAUACCUUCCAAACGCGAGGAGUGUAGCAAAACCUUCUACCUGAGGUUCAAAUAUUCGGUAACGUGGGCAGUUCAUUUGAAACCGUACAAUUGCGGGGGCAGAGGCUUUACCCAGUCCUCGCAAGGAACUAGACUCUUCAGUGUACAUGUUUGAGAAGCCACACAAAGCAGUGUGUGUGCCAAGGCUGGUACCUGAAGAUGGAAGCUGUGAAACGUAGAGAAUUAAUGUUGGAGAGCUGCGUUUCGGAUGCAGUGAGGGUUGUUGACAUUUUCAUCAAGUGUUGACAACGUCGACGUGACCUUAUGUCAAUAUUUUGAAGUCUGUGGCUCUUAUGCCUUUGCUACAGGCCUUUCAGGGUUGUCCCUGGGCAGGAAUCCAUAGGAUAAUACACCUGACAGCAUUAGGUGGGGUUCCCUCGCAUCCACGUUCCCUGGACAAAGUGGGACCCUGGAUUUUCCGGUUCAACAGCACGUGCAUUAGCCUUAGAGAAAACCCCAGGCAAAACCGUGACACGACUCAUCCCGCUUGUCGGGUUCUGGGCGCCCUUCUGUAGACAGGCUGCUGCGGGUUACAGGACAGAAUCCUCUCCCGGCUGACGGUGAACGGGGCAGGAUGGGCAUCAGGGAGCCCCGUUUUUCCCACGAGCAGAGUGAGAGGUUCCCAGGCACUGAUUAUGCAGUGGAAACAAUGCUCAGGGGACGUGAUUGGUGGCAUGGUGACCAGAAGCUGCACUGUAUGUUGAGCAGGACAUCCUCUUUGCUCUGUGGUUGUCACAGCCCUUUGGGGGGCUGUGCCUGCUUGGCAGCUGUUGGAGUAGAAGCCCCCACACCUGGUUCUGAGCUGCAGUAGGAAGAAGGCAGGACUGGAGCCUUGUUCCUGCCCAGGAGCUGCCCAAGGCAGUGCCAGAGGCAUGCAGAAGUUUUCAGCCCUGGGACUGAACCCAUUCCACCACCAGAUUCUCAGCCACUAGGCCACCAGGAAACUCCCUCUUACAGCUUUGAUUGUAUGAAAUCUUCUGCCAGCAUUCAGCAGGUGUUCUGUGAGAAUUGUUCCCCAUGUAGAUUUUUUUAAUUACAAAAAAUUUUUUUAUAGUGCCUCACCUGCAGCACAUGGAAGUUCCCAGGCUAGGGGUCAAAACAGAGCUACAGCUGCCAGCCUACACCACAGCCACACAGCUCAUGGCAACACCGGAUUGUUAACCCACUGAGCAAGGCCAGGGAUCGAACCCACAUCCUCAUGGAUCCUAGUCAGGUUCAUUAACCCCUGAGCUGCAAUGGGAACUCCCACUCUCCCAUCUUGAUCUCUUCACGUGGCUUAGGCCUUCUGAAAACCAAGCCCCCAUUUAAGAGCCAUCCUGGAUCCCACCCAUAGACCCACAAUCAGCUCCAUAGAACAAAGGAUAUUCCUGAGGCUCUUAUCUUUUAGGAAUUCACAGGGAAUUAGAGCCUGUGUGAGAGACUAGGUCUGUGUGAAAGACGGGGCACUGGUUCAACUUCCAGCCCAGCCCAAUGAGUUAAGGAGUCAGCAUUUCCACAGCCUCAGGGUGGGCUGCAGCUGAGGCUCAGAUUUGAUCCCUGACCCAGGAAGCCAAAAAGAAAAACACCAAAACCAAAAUAGAGUGGGUUUCAAAAUAGAGUGAGCAAAUAAUAUGACCAAGGAUAAGGACAUUUUAUAAUCAUAAAGGGAGAAAUUAAGAGUUCGCAUCACGGUGCAGCGGAAAUGAAUCCGACUGCAGCCCAAUCUGCUACAGGGACGAUGCUGACCUUGCUGUACCACAGCAGGAAUUCCUGUUUUUGUUUUUUUUUAGCUGCAACCUCGGCCUGUAGAAGUUCCUGGGCCAGGGAUCUAACAAUGGCAGUGACAACCCUGGAUCCUUAACCUGAACUUCAAGACCUCUCUAUUUUGAAUAGUGUGGAUGUGGUUACAGUUUUCCCUUGCUUUCUCCUUCUCUCUCUCUCUCUCUUUUUUCUCCCCUCUUUGUACGGCCAUCCCGGUGGCAUAAUGUAGUUCCUGGGCUAGGGAGCUGUAACUGGAGCCUACUCUACAGCCACAGCAUCAUGGGAUCUGAGCCGUGUCUGUGACCUAUACCACGGUUCAUGGCAAUGCCAGAUCCUUAACUCACUGAUCAAAGCCGGGGAUCCAACCCACAUCCUUAUGGAUAUUAGUCAGGUUUGUUACCGUGGAGCCACAAUGGGAACACUUCAUUUUUGUUUUUUAUUUUUGGCUUUUUAGGUCUGCACCUGCAGCCUAUGGACGUUCCCAGGCUAAGGGUCCAAUUGGAGCUACAGCUGUGAGCCUACACCACAGCCACAGCAACAUGGGAUCCUAGAUGCAUCUGCAACCUACACACCAGCUCAUGGCAACGUGAGAUCCCUGACCCACCGAGCGAGGCCAGGGAUGGAACCUGCAUCCUCAUGGAUGCUAGUCGGGAUUUGUCUCUGCCGCACCACAAAGGGAACACCUCUUUUUUUUUUUUUUAGGUUUUGUUUUGUUUUUCCUUUUUUGGCUGCCCUGUGGUAUAUGGAGUUUCCAGGCCAGGGAACUGAACCACAUUUUCAGCCUGCACAACAGGGAUCAAACCUGCAUCCUGGCACUGCAGAAACACCUCCGAUCCCAUUGCACCAUCCAGGGAGUUCCUCCAUGCUUUUACUUGGUGUACUUUAAUUUUUGGUGUGUAUUUCACAUGAGAAACAAAUUGUUUUCUGUGUUUUAAAAAAUCCAUUUGAGGGGAGUUCCCUGGUGGCCCAGUGGUUAGGAUUUGGUGCUUUCACUAUUGCUGUUUGGGUUUGAUCCCUGGUUUGGGGACUGAGAUCCCACAUUAAG